AAGCGAAACGGGGGUGACGCCCCGUUGCCGGAGGGGUGGUGCCCCCGGCCUGACGAGCAGCCAUGC
Molecule: non-coding RNA, 66 nt
Filed under: Magnetococcales bacterium
Lineage: Bacteria; Pseudomonadati; Pseudomonadota; Magnetococcia; Magnetococcales
Source: RNAcentral